RNAcentral lists this ribosomal RNA (450 nucleotides) under uncultured bacterium. Its description in RNAcentral is "partial 16S ribosomal RNA". It matches the Rfam family "Bacterial small subunit ribosomal RNA", at positions 338 to 795 of the family's 1533-position model. The record is from RNAcentral.
CCUACGGGAGGCUGCAGUAGGGAAUAUUGGGCAAUGGACGCAAGUCUGACCCAGCCACGCCGCGUGAAGGAUGACUGCCCUAUGGGUUGUAAACUUCUUUUGUAUGGGAAGAAACCUCCGAACGUGUUCGGAGCUGACGGUACCAUAAGAAUAAGCAUCGGCUAACUCCGUGCCAGCAGCCGCGGUAAUACGGAGGAUGCAGGCGUUGUCCGGAUUCAUUGGGGCGUAAGCGUACGUAGACGGAGGAGUUGAAAGCUCGCAGCUUGACUGUGAAAAUGCCAUUGAAACUGAUUUUCUUGAGUUCGAUUGAGGUAGAUGGAAUGUAUCAUGUAGCGGUGAAAUGCUUAGAUAUGAUACAGAACACCAAUUGCGAAGGCAGUCUACUAAGUCGAUACUGACGCUGAGGCACGAAAGCAUGGGGAGCAAACAGGAUUAGAUACCCCAGUAGUC